AGUGAACGCUGGCGGUAGGCCUAACACAUGCAAGUCGAACGGCAGCACAGUAAGAGCUUGCUCUUACGGGUGGCGAGUGGCGGACGGGUGAGGAAUACAUCGGAAUCUACUUUUUCGUGGGGGAUAACGUAGGGAAACUUACGCUAAUACCGCAUACGACCUACGGGUGAAAGCAGGGGAUCUUCUGACCUUGCGCGAUUGAAUGAGCCGCUGUCGGAUUAGCUAGUUGGCGGGGUAAAGGCCCACCAAGUCGACGAUCCGUAGCUGGUCUGAGAGGAGGAUCGGCGACACUGGAACUGAGCCACGGUCCAGAGUCCUACGGGAGGCAGCAGUGGGGAAUAUGGGACAAUGGGGGCAAGCCUGAUACAGCGAGACCGCGUGGGUGAAGAAGGCCUUCGGGUUGUAAAGCCCUUUUGUUGGGAAAGAAAAGCAGCAGGUUAAUACCCCGCUGUUCUGACGGUACUCAAAGAAUAAGCACCGGCUAACUUCGUG
RNAcentral lists this ribosomal RNA (492 nucleotides) under uncultured bacterium. Its description in RNAcentral is "partial 16S ribosomal RNA". It matches the Rfam family "Bacterial small subunit ribosomal RNA", at positions 29 to 507 of the family's 1533-position model. The record is from RNAcentral.